RNAcentral lists this ribosomal RNA (501 nucleotides) under uncultured bacterium. RNAcentral describes it as "partial 16S ribosomal RNA". It matches the Rfam family "Bacterial small subunit ribosomal RNA", at positions 30 to 523 of the family's 1533-position model. The record is from RNAcentral.
AUUGAACGCUGGCGGCAGGCUUAACACAUGCAAGUCGAGCGGAGAGAGGUAGCUUGCUACUGAUCUUAGCGGCGGACGGGUGAGUAAUGCUUAGGAAUCUGCCUAUUAGUGGGGGACAACAUUUCGAAAGGAAUGCUAAUACCGCAUACGUCCUACGGGAGAAAGCAGGGGAUCUUCGGACCUUGCGCUAAUAGAUGAGCCUAAGUCGGAUUAGCUAGUUGGUGGGGUAAAGGCCUACCAAGGCGACGAUCUGUAGCGGGUCUGAGAGGAUGGUCCGCCACACUGGGACUGAGACACGGCCCAGACUCCUACGGGAGGCAGCAGUGGGGAAUAUUGGACAAUGGGGGGAACCCUGAUCCAGCCAUGCCGCGUGUGUGAAGAAGGCCUUAUGGUUGUAAAGCACUUUAAGCGAGGAGGAGGCUACUCUAGUUAAUACCUAGGGAUAGUGGACGUUACUCGCAGAAUAAGCACCGGCUAACUCUGUGCCAGCCGCCGCCGUAA